This 429-nucleotide ribosomal RNA is filed under the name uncultured bacterium. Its description in RNAcentral is "bacterial SSU rRNA". It matches the Rfam family "Bacterial small subunit ribosomal RNA", at positions 32 to 490 of the family's 1533-position model. The record is from RNAcentral.
AAUCAACGCUGGCGGCGUGCCUAACACAUGCAAGUCGAACGAGAAAGUGGAGCAAUCCAUGAGUAAAGUGGCGCACGGGUGAGUAACACGUGACUAACCUACCCUUGGGUGGGGGAUAACCUAGGGAAACCUGGGCUAAUACCGCAUAAUACCUACGGGUCAAAGGAGCAAUUCGCUUUGGGAGGGGUCGCGGCCGAUUAGUUAGUUGGCAGGGUAAUGGCCUACCAAGACGAUGAUCGGUAUCCGGCCUGAGAGGGCGCACGGACACACUGGAACUGAAACACGGUCCAGACUCCUACGGGAGGCAGCAGUGGGGAAUUUUGCGCAAUGGGGGAAACCCUGACGCAGCAACGCCGCGUGGAGGAUGAAGUCCCUUGGGACGUAAACUCCUUUCGAUCGGGACGAUAAUGACGGUACCGGAAGAAGAAG